Molecule: small nucleolar RNA, 64 nt
Organism: Manis pentadactyla (Chinese pangolin)
Lineage: Eukaryota; Metazoa; Chordata; Mammalia; Pholidota; Manidae
Product: small nucleolar RNA U54
Exons: 1
Source: RefSeq, a predicted model, not a curated record
UGGCGAUGAGGAGAUAAUGACUAUUGAACCUGGUGAUAGUUUUAUACGCUAUUCUGAGCCAACA